This 199-nucleotide ribosomal RNA is filed under the name Klebsiella pneumoniae. Its description in RNAcentral is "partial 23S ribosomal RNA". It matches the Rfam family "Bacterial large subunit ribosomal RNA", at positions 2744 to 2925 of the family's 2925-position model. Lineage: Bacteria; Pseudomonadati; Pseudomonadota; Gammaproteobacteria; Enterobacterales; Enterobacteriaceae. The record is from RNAcentral.
GGUAGCUAAAUGCGGAAGAGAUAAGUGCUGAAAGCAUCUAAGCACGAAACUUGCCCCGAGAUGAGUUCUCCCUGAGACUUUAAGUCUCCUGAAGGAACGUUAAAGACGAUGACGUUGAUAGGCCGGGUGUGUAAGCGCAGCGAUGCGUUGAGCUAACCGGUACUAAUGAACCGUGAGGCUUAACCUUACAACGCCGAAG